This 434-nucleotide ribosomal RNA is filed under the name uncultured Lachnospiraceae bacterium. RNAcentral describes it as "partial 16S ribosomal RNA". It matches the Rfam family "Bacterial small subunit ribosomal RNA", at positions 341 to 792 of the family's 1533-position model. Lineage: Bacteria; Bacillati; Bacillota; Clostridia; Lachnospirales; Lachnospiraceae. The record is from RNAcentral.
ACGGAAGGCAGCAGUGGGGAAUAUUGGACAAUGGGGGAAACCCUGAUCCAGCGACGCCGCGUGAGUGAAGAAGUAUUUCGGUAUGUAAAGCUCUAUCAGCAGGGAAGAUAAUGACGGUACCUGACUAAGAAGCCCCGGCUAACUACGUGCCAGCAGCCGCGGUAAUACGUAGGGGGCAAGCGUUAUCCGGAUUUACUGGGUGUAAAGGGAGCGUAGACGGCAUGGCAAGUCUGAUGUGAAAACCCGGGGCUCAACCCCGGGACUGCAUUGGAAACUGUCAGGCUUGAGUGCAGGAGAGGUAAGUGGAAUUCCUAGUGUAGCGGUGAAAUGCGUAGAUAUUAGGAGGAACACCAGUGGCGAAGGCGGCUUACUGGACUGUAACUGACGUUGAGGCUCGAAAGCGUGGGGAGCAAACGGGAUUAGAUACCCUGGUA